CUCUUUUUGGUUUUGUGGAUAACUUUGCUGCAAACUAUGCUCUGAAGAGAGUUUAUUAUGUCAACUAUGCAUUGGGGAUAUCUGGACGCAGGAAACCUUGCUGGCAUCUAUUAUGAACAAAGUCAACUUGACAUGGCAAUUCUGCAUUACAAGCAAGCUAUCAACUGUGAUUCUACCUUUAUUGAAGCUUACAAUAAUCUGGGGAAUGCUCUCAAAGACGCUGGGCAUGCUCUCAAAGACGCUGGACAUUAUAGGAUGACUUUUUAAUUUGGAUAUUUUUAUUCUCUUAAGUUUUUUUUCCUUGUUGAAUAACUUCAUUUUAAUAAUUUUUCCCAAGUCAUGCUUUGCUUUACAACCUAACCAUCCACAAGCAUUGUCAAGCCUUAGCAGCAUAUACAUGGAUUGCAACAUGAUGAGUGUUCCUGCAUCAUUCUAUAAGGCAACUUUAGCAGUUACAACAGGGAUAUAUGAGCCCUUCAACAACUUGGC
Zingiber officinale is the source of this 489-nucleotide long non-coding RNA. RefSeq lists it as uncharacterized. NCBI's taxonomy places the organism in Eukaryota, Viridiplantae, Streptophyta, Magnoliopsida, Zingiberales, Zingiberaceae. The transcript is spliced from 3 exons. The record is from RefSeq and is a predicted model, not a curated record.